This 700-nucleotide ribosomal RNA is filed under the name Acinetobacter sp. RNAcentral's name for it is "bacterial SSU rRNA". It matches the Rfam family "Bacterial small subunit ribosomal RNA", at positions 57 to 752 of the family's 1533-position model. Lineage: Bacteria; Pseudomonadati; Pseudomonadota; Gammaproteobacteria; Moraxellales; Moraxellaceae. The record is from RNAcentral.
GCAGUCGAGCGGGGAGAUGUAGCUUGCUACAUUUCCUAGCGGCGGACGGGUGAGUAAUGCUUAGGAAUCUGCCUAUUAGUGGGGGACAACAUUCCGAAAGGAAUGCUAAUACCGCAUACGCCCUACGGGGGAAAGCAGGGGAUCUUCGGACCUUGCGCUAAUAGAUGAGCCUAAGUCAGAUUAGCUAGUUGGUGGGGUAAAGGCCUACCAAGGCGACGAUCUGUAGCGGGUCUGAGAGGAUGAUCCGCCACACUGGGACUGAGACACGGCCCAGACUCCUACGGGAGGCAGCAGUGGGGAAUAUUGGACAAUGGGCGAAAGCCUGAUCCAGCCAUGCCGCGUGUGUGAAGAAGGCCUUUUGGUUGUAAAGCACUUUAAGCGAGGAGGAGGCUACUUGGAUUAAUACUCUAGGAUAGUGGACGUUACUCGCAGAAUAAGCACCGGCUAACUCUGUGCCAGCAGCCGCGGUAAUACAGAGGGUGCGAGCGUUAAUCGGAUUUACUGGGCGUAAAGCGUGCGUAGGCGGCUUCUUAAGUCGGAUGUGAAAUCCCUGAGCUUAACUUAGGAAUUGCAUUCGAUACUGGGAAGCUAGAGUAUGGGAGAGGAUGGUAGAAUUCCAGGUGUAGCGGUGAAAUGCGUAGAGAUCUGGAGGAAUACCGAUGGCGAAGGCAGCCAUCUGGCCUAAUACUGACGCUGAGGU